Molecule: long non-coding RNA, 1432 nt
Filed under: Homo sapiens (human)
Lineage: Eukaryota; Metazoa; Chordata; Mammalia; Primates; Hominidae
Description: HSALNT0364061
Source: RNAcentral
ACUUCUGGCCUUAAGUGAUCCUCCUGCCUUGGCCUCCCAAAGUGUGGGAUUACAGGCAUGAGCCACUGUGUCUGGCUGAAAUUGGAAUUCUAAAGAAUCAAAUUUUGCCCCAAUUUGCUGUGCUGCCUGUGCUUGGAAUAAACAUUUUGCAGCCAUACAGAAAUCAGAAGAUUUAUUGAGAAUACGGUACAUGCUCCUAGUGGGUAGAGAGGAAUCAGACAUAGCUCCCGCCGUCAAGGAGAUCUGAGUUUCAUGAUGAAGAUACAAAAAUGAAAAUGACUAUGUGUGGAAUGUGCUAAUAGUGAUAUGAGCAGGGCAAGCUCAAGGCACGAGGGAAGGUCAAAGGAAGCUUAUGAAAGAAAGAGAUUCUUCGGCAGUGUUAAGAUAAGUAAAUGGAGGGUCAGAGACACUGUUGGUUACCCAAGAUCGUAUUCCAGAUCACUGGUGAAGCCUGUUAGCAACUCCAAGCAUUUGAGCUAGGAUCUGCUACUUCUCAACACUAGGCUACAGACAUUCUCAGCAGUUAUCAUCUUACUGGGCUUAACAAUAAUGUACAAGGAACAUAACUGCAAAGUGGGCUACUGUGUCUCACAAGAUGAGAACAAAGGAAGUGCUGGAAGAGUUUCAAGUCUGGCUGCAGAAAGCUGGAAAGAUGACAGUCUACUUGGGAAAAUGAUACAAAAUGUCUGAAAAUUUAAGCAACUGCUCAAGACUCCUGUCUUAUGAGGGAAAGGAGGCGGGCUCCCUCACAAGACAUUAAGGCUGCCUGUGAGGGCUGUCACCAGUAGUGUUACUAAGUUAAGAUCCUAAUGUACAGUGUGGACACAUGAGUGUUUCUCUUUCUUUUACAAAUGCUGCUAAAGAACAUGCCCAUAGAGGAUAUUUGCAACACCUUAUAAACUAAACCUGACAAUAGGAAAGACCAUACAAAAAGUAUGUACCUUUUAACUUUUUUCCCUUAAGAAAGAAGUUCUAGGUAAGGUAAUCAGGUAAGAAAUUAUUCAAAUAAAAUUAGAAAAAUCAAAUAUUGCUCUGGUUAUACAUGUAAAAUAAUUGCAUUUAUUCAUUAAAAUAAUGCAUUGUAUGUAUUGAUCCAUCUAUAAUUUAUGAGGCACUGGGCAACCUAAUCAUGAAUUCACUCAGUCAUUUAUUGUGUCUGUUAUUUCAACCCACAUUAUUGAACUUCUGUUAUGUGCAAAGCUGUGGCCAGGGUGUGGAUUUCUCCAUGGAUAAGACAUAUUCUGUCCUAGAGAGGAGGCUAGAAAAACUACAGUUUAAUGAGCAGAUAUUAGAUGCUCUGUACUAUGCUAAGAAUUUUAUGCACAGUAUUUCAUAUGAAAAUUGUAAUAACUCUGUUAGGCAAGGCUUAUUGUAAUGUUCUUAGAGAUGGUGUAUUAGUCUGUUUUCACAUGGAUAAUAAAGAUAAUGAGAC